This 72-nucleotide transfer RNA is filed under the name Elusimicrobia bacterium RIFOXYA12_FULL_57_11. RNAcentral describes it as "tRNA-Thr". It matches the Rfam family "tRNA". From Rfam's summary of the family: Transfer RNA (tRNA) molecules are approximately 80 nucleotides in length. Their secondary structure includes four short double-helical elements and three loops (D, anti-codon, and T loops). The record is from RNAcentral. RNAcentral also lists the same sequence under 2 other names. Lineage: Bacteria; Pseudomonadati; Elusimicrobiota.
GCCGACGUAGCUCAGCGGUAGAGCAACCGCCUUGUAAGCGGUAGGUCGAGAGUUCAAUUCUCUCCGUCGGCU